Molecule: unclassified non-coding RNA, 309 nt
Organism: Vombatus ursinus (common wombat)
Lineage: Eukaryota; Metazoa; Chordata; Mammalia; Diprotodontia; Vombatidae
Rfam family: Metazoan signal recognition particle RNA
About the family: The signal recognition particle (SRP) is a universally conserved ribonucleoprotein. It is involved in the co-translational targeting of proteins to membranes.
Source: Ensembl
GCCAGGCAUGGUGGAGCAGGCCUGUUAUCCUGGCUAUUAGGGAGGCAAAGAAUGGUGGAUUACUUGAUUUUGGAAAUUCUGAGUUGCACUGGGGUUAAAAAUGAUCAAAUAUCUGCACUGUCUGGCACCAGUAUUGUGAGAUCCCAGGAGUGGGAAGCCACAGGGCUGCCUAAGGAGACCAAACUGUCUUAGGUUGGAAAUAAAGUAGGUCAAUGCUUCCAUGCAGAUCAGCAGUGGGAUUGGUUCCAUGGAUGGUGGUUGUGCUUCCAGGUUCCAUGAAUGGUUUCCAUGACAUAGAGAGACUGUCUC